AAAAAAUUAGUUAAACCCAAUAACAUUAGAAUGUCAACCUAAAAUUAUCAAAUAUUGAUAUUUUUUA
RNAcentral lists this transfer RNA (67 nucleotides) under Hybos culiciformis. RNAcentral describes it as "tRNA-Asp". Lineage: Eukaryota; Metazoa; Arthropoda; Insecta; Diptera; Hybotidae. The record is from RNAcentral.